RNAcentral lists this long non-coding RNA (1229 nucleotides) under Homo sapiens (human). RNAcentral's name for it is "HSALNT0290079". The record is from RNAcentral. Lineage: Eukaryota; Metazoa; Chordata; Mammalia; Primates; Hominidae.
AAUUUCAGGAAGAACUGGGAGAGUAGAAACAAAAUUGUCAGCACUUCUCCAUGGAAACCCCAUGGAGGUUUCAGGGCUGAGGACAGCGCUGGGGAAGUCCUGGGGCCCCCAGAAGCCAGAGGUGGGGUAACAAGAGGAUGGGUGGAUGACUUACGCAGGGAGCAGCCCUCUGAAACCGCCGGAAUCGAGGCCUCCUUUGCACCUUGAUUCCACCCAGAGUCUGCGCCUACGCUUUGGGCAGGGGAGGCAGAACCCACGUUGGUCUAAGAGCAGGGAGAAGUGGGCAUGAUCCUACCAUGCUGCAGGGCCUCGGGAUGGGGAUGGGAUUUGCUGCUCUUUGUGCCCAAUUAAUGAGCGAGACGAACAAGCACACUGAGUAGCUUCCUGCCAGCCGUCCCCUUUGGCAGCAAACUCAUCCCCACCUCUGGGCCUUGGCUCGAGUUGUUAGCCAACUCAACCUUGAAGCCGUCCCUUCCUAUCAGCCCAUGCAAAUUCUGCCAUCAGCCAAGGACCGCCUCUUCCUCUUCCGGGAAGCUGACUUCAAGCCAUGCCCUUCCCUUUUGCAAGCUCCCGUGGCUCGCGACCCGCAGCCCACCCCUGCACCAGUGGACACUGCGGGAUGGCCUGGCCUCGGCUCUGCAUUUUCACUUCUCUUAGCUCUCAUCUCCUCCACCACAGAGACAGCUCUGUCUGAGUAUCUUUCUGAUACUGUUCUUUAUCCCCCAGGACUGGCCCAGCCCAGGGCGGUGCGUACAGCAGACACUUAAUGUAACACAGUAGCAGCUUUUAAUUUCUCAGGCCAAUGAGAUACAGACAGUCACUGGUAUGGUAGUUUUUCAGUCAAGCAUCAAGGGAAGAACUUAUUAGUUUGAAUUACAAACAACAGAAGUAGAAAACUCCACAAGGAAAAAUCUCAGCUGGUGAAGAAGCUCAGGAGCUCACAGAAGUGUGAUGAAGUAAUCAAACCAUCGCCAUCGGCUAAGGAAACCGAGGGGUGCAGAGCUGAUGUCGCUUGGCCCGCAAGCCACGGAGAGUGGGAGCAAGAGGAGGUUUGGUCAGGCUGCCUCUGCCCCUGUCUUUCUCGGCCCACAGGCUCCAAGCAGGCAGGACCAGACCGCAGCUUCCAGGUGCUGGGAUCCGGGGACCACACCUUCACCUGCUGCUCUCUUGAAGGAAAAACAAAUAUCUGCCUCUGGCAGGUAAAAAAAAAAUAAAAGGAGUGCGUCUCA